AGGUAGUGACAAUAAAUACUGAUACAGGGCUCUUUUGGGUCUUGUAAUUGGAAUGAGUACAAUUUAAACCUCUUAACGAGGAACAAUUGGAGGGCAAGUCUGGUGCCAGCAGCCGCGGUAAUUCCAGCUCCAAUAGCGUAUAUUAAAGUUGUUGCAGUUAAAAAGCUCGUAGUUGAACCUUGGGCCUGGCUGGCAGGUCCGCCUCACCGCGUGUACUUGACCGGCCGGGCCUUCUCUUCUGGAGAACCUCAUGCCCUUUACUGGGCGUGUUGGGGACCAGGACUUUUACUUUGAAAAAAUUAGAGUGUUCAAAGCAGGCCUUUGCUCGAAUAUGUUAGCAUGGAAUAAUAGAAUAGGACGUGCGGUCCUAUUUUGUUGGUUUCUAGGACCGCCGUAAUGAUUAAUAGGGACAGUCGGGGGCAUCAGUAUUCAAUUGUCAGAGGUGAAAUUCUUGGAUUUAUUGAAGACUAACUACUGCGAAAGCAUUUGCCAAGGAUGUUUUCAUUAAUCAGUGAACGAAAGUUAGGGGAUCGAAGACGAUCAGAUACCGUCGUAGUCUUAACCAUAAACUAUGCCGACUAGGGAUCGGGCGAUGUUUCAAUAUUGACUCGCUCGGCACCUUACGAGAAAU
This 631-nucleotide ribosomal RNA is filed under the name Neohelicascus elaterascus. RNAcentral describes it as "SSU rRNA". It matches the Rfam family "Eukaryotic small subunit ribosomal RNA", at positions 462 to 1098 of the family's 1831-position model. The record is from RNAcentral. Lineage: Eukaryota; Fungi; Ascomycota; Dothideomycetes; Pleosporales; Morosphaeriaceae.